AAGGGCACCACAAGAACGCGUGGAGCAUGUGGCUUAAUUUGACUCAACGCGGGAAAUCUUACCGGGUCCGGACACACUGAGGAUUGACAGGUAUUAUUAAAUUACACAUAAUUUUAUUAUGUUGUAAUUUAUGUUAAAUAUGCUAGUCCUUUCAUGAUUAUGUGAUAGGUGGUGCAUGGCCGUUCUUAGUUCGUGGAGUGAUCUGUCUGCUUAAUUGCGUUUCACUAAGGGCCUAUAUAUAUUACGUGCGUUGCAGGUACUUUGACCCAUCACAUAUGAAAUUUAAUAUGUUUGAGUGCGUGUCUUAGUUUGCUUUUGCUCGCACAAUUAGGUCCUGAAAGCAACGAACGUGACCGCAACCUCUUGUUGCCUUUAUCCCAAAAACUGUGUCGUUGUAUUUUAUUAUACACGCGCGGUAAAAAAAGGCUUUUAAACUAGAGGGACCGCUGUAAUCUUUUUAAACCAGAGGAAGGUUGCGGCAAUAACAGGUCUGUGAUGCCCUUAGAUGUUCCGGGCUGCACACGUGCUACAAUGAUUAUUGCAGUGAGCAUCUCAUUUAUUACACACCGCAUGCGCGUGUCCAUUUAUGCACAUAUUUUAUAUGUCGCAUAGAUGUGUACAUUGUGCGCGGUAAAGCCUGCUUCGAAAGUAAGUGGGUAAUCAAUUAGAAGUAAUGAUUUCCUUUUUUUCGCACACAUAUAUGCGGCAUCUUUACCCGGGCGGAGCUUGUCUCUUCUUUUGUGUGUAUCGAUGUUUUUUCCGCAUGUGCAAUUGUCAAUUCAUGGUGGGGACAGACCAUUGUUAAUUGUUGGUCUCGGUCUUAACUAGGAAUGCCUUGUACGGGUCUUUGGUUCAACAAACCACCCGGAAUACGUCCCUGCCCUUUGUACACACCGCCCGUCGCUCUUACCGAUGGACUUCUCUGUGAGUUUGAGGGACUGGGUACUGCGUAUGAAUUUAUUUAUAUCGCUAUCACCUAUGGAAACUUAAACGAACAGUGUGGUCUAAAGGAAAGAGAAGUCGAACAAGGCA
RNAcentral lists this ribosomal RNA (1032 nucleotides) under Textularia agglutinans. Its description in RNAcentral is "bacterial SSU rRNA". It matches the Rfam family "Eukaryotic small subunit ribosomal RNA", at positions 1160 to 1801 of the family's 1831-position model. Lineage: Eukaryota; Foraminifera; Textulariida; Textulariidae. The record is from RNAcentral.